Molecule: ribosomal RNA, 508 nt
Filed under: Darwiniella conjugatum
Lineage: Eukaryota; Metazoa; Arthropoda; Thecostraca; Balanomorpha; Pyrgomatidae
Description: partial 16S ribosomal RNA
Rfam family: Bacterial large subunit ribosomal RNA
Source: RNAcentral
CAAAAACAUUUCCUCCUAGAAUAGGAGGUAAAGCCUGCUCACUGAGGAUUUAAAGAGCCGCAGUAUCCUAACUGUGCUAAGGUAGCAUAAUCAUUAGUCUUUUAAUUGGAGACUGGUAUGAAUGGCUUAACGAGAAAUUGACUUUUUUUGUUAUAAUAAUUAAAUUUAAUUUUUUAGUGAAAAAGCUAAAAUGAUUCAGAAAGACGAGAAGACCCUAUAGAGUUUUAUGUUUAUUUUAUAUUUAUUUUUAUUAGAUUUUUUUAAAAUAAGUAUAUAAAAACAUUUUGUUGGGGCGACAUUUAGAUAAAAAAAACUCUUUAUUUUAAUAAUUUUUUUGAAAAUAUUAUUUGAUCCUUUAGAAAAGAUCAAAAGAAAAAAUUACCUUAGGGAUAACAGCGUAAUCUUUUUUGAGAGUUCUAAUCGACAAAAAGGUUUGCGACCUCGAUGUUGGACUAAAAUUUAGACAGGGUGCAGUAGUUCUGUUUUAAGGUCUGUUCGACCUAUAAUA